GGAGAGUUGUCCGAGUGGUUGAAGGAGCACGCCUGGAAAGUGUGUAUAUCUCAAAAGGGUAUCGAGAGUUCGAAUCUCUCACUCUCCGCAA
RNAcentral lists this transfer RNA (91 nucleotides) under Pedobacter ginsengisoli. RNAcentral's name for it is "tRNA-Ser". It matches the Rfam family "tRNA". Rfam says of the family: Transfer RNA (tRNA) molecules are approximately 80 nucleotides in length. Their secondary structure includes four short double-helical elements and three loops (D, anti-codon, and T loops). The record is from RNAcentral. Lineage: Bacteria; Pseudomonadati; Bacteroidota; Sphingobacteriia; Sphingobacteriales; Sphingobacteriaceae.